UACGGAGGGUGCGAGCGUUAUCCGGAUUCACUGGGUUUAAAGGGCGCGUAGGCGGCCUCUGCAAGUCGACUGUGAAAUCUCCGGGCUUAACCCGGAAAGGUCAGCCGAUACUGCAGGGCUAGAGUGCAGAAGGGGCAACUGGAAUUCUCGGUGUAGCGGUGAAAUGCGUAGAUAUCGAGAGGAACACCUGCGGCGAAGGCGGGUUGCUGGGCUGACACUGACGCUGACAGCGCGAAAGCUAGGGGAGCAAACGGG
RNAcentral lists this ribosomal RNA (255 nucleotides) under uncultured bacterium. RNAcentral's name for it is "partial 16S ribosomal RNA". It matches the Rfam family "Bacterial small subunit ribosomal RNA", at positions 524 to 776 of the family's 1533-position model. The record is from RNAcentral.